ACGUAGGGGGCGAGCGUUGUCCGGAAUUACUGGGCGGAAAGAGCACGUAGGCGGAUAUUUAAGUCAGAUGUGAAAGCCCGGGGCUCAACUCCGGAGUUGCAUUUGAAACUGGGUAUCUUGAGGGCAGGAGAGGAAAGCGGAAUUCCUGGUGUAGCGGUGAAAUGCGUAGAAAUCAGGAGGAACACCGGUGGCGAAGGCGGCUUUCUGGGCUAUUACUGACGCUGAGGCACGAAAGCGUGGGGAGCAAAUAG
RNAcentral lists this ribosomal RNA (251 nucleotides) under uncultured bacterium. Its description in RNAcentral is "partial 16S ribosomal RNA". It matches the Rfam family "Bacterial small subunit ribosomal RNA", at positions 525 to 775 of the family's 1533-position model. The record is from RNAcentral.